RNAcentral lists this transfer RNA (71 nucleotides) under Capra hircus (goat). It matches the Rfam family "tRNA". From Rfam's summary of the family: Transfer RNA (tRNA) molecules are approximately 80 nucleotides in length. The record is from Rfam by way of RNAcentral. Lineage: Eukaryota; Metazoa; Chordata; Mammalia; Artiodactyla; Bovidae. RNAcentral also lists the same sequence under 1 other name.
UCUCUGGUGGUUCAAUGGUUAGGACUCAACACUUUCACUGCUAUAGUCCAGGUUCAAUCCCUGGUGGGGAA